CAACCCCAAAGGGAAAUGAGAUGGAACAAUCUGAUACUCAACCACCUGGCCUCUCUGAACUGGCAGCAAAAGAGGAUCUGGGAAAAAUGAAAUCAGAAAUAAUUACUCAGUUAUCAGAUCUGUAGGGCUACAUCCUUCCUCAUGUCUCAUUACAACAGGCAUGGAAAAAUGCUCUGAGUUCACCCUAUGUCUCCUAUUUCUGUUACUUCCAUUUGGGUCAAAUCCCUAAGGGUUGUUGAACAUGGACUUUGCAUGAGACUUAAGAACUUCCAGAAACAGAGGUAGAGAACACAUGGCACUUGGCUUUGAGCCACUUAUUAUUAGGAGGAAUAAAUAAAGGACUGGAAAGGGAGGUGAGAAGCUAAUACCCCAAGGGAGGAGGGAGAAAGAGAGGCAAAGCGCUGUGAAGGGUUAGAGAGCUGACUCUUGGGCCUGGCAUCUGCCUCACAGUGUCCCCACAUCCUAGCCAGUCUCCUGGAUAUGCGGGAUGGGGCAUAUCCAAGCAGACCUCCAGAGUGACAAGGGGGUGCCGCUGGAGUGUCUCUCACUAUUAUGUCAAAUCCCUGUUUCAGGGGGACAGACAUUUAAGAAGCUAUGCUUGGCCACCUUGCCCAGAAAUCAGGAAAGCUAUUUUUUCUCUUCAAAAUAAUUGCUACUGAUCCUUUCUUCUAUUAGCCAAAGAGUCUAAUGUCACUUUUCUGCUCUGGCUGCCAGGAAGCUUGGAGCUACAUUUUGUGCACAAUGACUGCAGCCUGCUGAGGCUAAUUCUUUGGAUUUGUAUUUCGCUACACUCUCUGUACCACUUGACUCUGUUUUUCCAUAUUUUCUACAAACAAACUUCAGUGCUACUCUAUCUUGAUAAAUUCAUAUAGAUCAAUUUGAAGCAUUUGCUUAAUUUCCAUUUGCCUAUUCCUCGAUCAUUCUAUCUCCUUUUGGCGACAGCUGCACCCACCCCCAGCUGGGGAUUCCUGACAUGCAACCUUCUGCACUGAGCACAAGGCUGUCCUCAGCGGUGGCUUUGAAAGCACCUUCUCUCUAGCCAGCAGCAGCUGAGGUGUCUUGGUGACAUUUCUGAAAGGGGCUUCUCGGCUUGAACCCUUGAAGGGGCCACCAUUUCCUGUCUCCAGGCCUUCUUCUUGUCUCAAGAGGGGGUCCGCACCGCGAGAGCUCCAUUGGCAGCUCUUCCUCCCCGCAGCCAGGUAAUUUGGCAGCUGAGCCCAGAGGCUGGUCCAGUCCCCAGCAGGGGUUUAGUUGUCUGGGCAACGUGGGCGUAGCCACGCCCAUCAACUGCCCACAGUCAGGCGCGAGACUUUUCGGUUGGUGCUCACCUGCCUGCACAGGGAAGGCGCGUUUGGAUGCUUAACUGUAGUUUCUCGAGGGACGUGUGUGGCUUGGUCAGCGUCAUUCAAACUGCGGCUAAACCCAGGUGGCCCCUCUCUGAAUCCACCAGCUUCAACGUCAUUUCCAGUCUUGAAUUGGGAAUACUGGGCCCUGUGCUCAAACGUGGCCUGAUUCCAAUCCAGGAGAGAGAUCUAAUGCCAAACCCCACCAAGUUUUCCAAAGUGUGAUCAGAGGGCAGCACCUGAGGCAGAAUUGCGAAGGACACUGCCUUCAAAUGCCAGCCCCAGGCCAUAGGAAUCACCCACACGAUGUUGGAUUGAAUUCUGGACCUUGUGCUUUCGAGGCACGUGGUGGAACCACAGAGCUAAAUCCCCGGGCCUCCAAGACUUAUUAAGAAAGAUAGUCGUAUGUGGAAGUGAGGGCCCCACCUUCUAAAGGCUCCAUUGCCUCGCACAUUGCUGCACGGAGGACCAAGGUCCCAGCACCCAAAGCUUUGGGAGACACUUUUAGACCACAUCCAAAUCACAGCAGGGUUCAAGUAUCCAAAUUCUCAUGCAUAUGCAGUUUUCUAUUCUGCUUCUAUUUCUUAAUAUCAGAAUUUUCACUCAUAAUUAAAUAUUUUGUAAAAAAAAAAGUUAUUGCAUUGGCUUUGUCACAUCCCAACAGAAAUGUAUCAAAAUGUGUUUGGUUUUCUAUUG
Non-coding RNA from Heterocephalus glaber (naked mole-rat), 2039 nucleotides. Lineage: Eukaryota; Metazoa; Chordata; Mammalia; Rodentia; Bathyergidae. The record is from RefSeq and is a predicted model, not a curated record.